GGGAUAACACCUGGAAACAGAUGCUAAUACCGGAUAACAACACUAGACGCAUGUCUAGAGUUUGAAAGAUGGUUCUGCUAUCACUCUUGGAUGGACCUGCGGUGCAUUAGCUAGUUGGUAAGGUAACGGCUUACCAAGGCAAUGAUGCAUAGCCGAGUUGAGAGACUGAUCGGCCACAUUGGGACUGAGACACGGCCCAAACUCCUACGGGAGGCAGCAGUAGGGAAUCUUCCACAAUGGACGAAAGUCUGAUGGAGCAACGCCGCGUGAGUGAAGAAGGGUUUCGGCUCGCAAAGCUCUGUUGGUAGUGAAGAAAGAUAGAGGUAGUAACUGGCCUUUAUUUGACGGUAAUUACUUAGAAAGUCACGGCUAACUACGUGCCAGCAGCCGCGGUAAUACGUAGGUGGCAAGCGUUGUCCGGAUUUAUUGGGCGUAAAGCGAGUGCAGGCGGUUCAAUAAGUCUGAUGUGAAAGCCUUCGGCUCAACCGGAGAAUUGCAUCAGAAACUGUUGAACUUGAGUGCAGAAGAGGAGAGUGGAACUCCAUGUGUAGCGGUGGAAUGCGUAGAUAUAUGGAAGAACACCAGUGGCGAAGGCGGCUCUCUGGUCUGCAACUGACGCUGAGGCUCGAAAGCAUGGGUAGCGAACAGGAUUAGAUACCCUGGUAGUCCAUGCCGUAAAC
RNAcentral lists this ribosomal RNA (680 nucleotides) under uncultured bacterium. RNAcentral's name for it is "bacterial SSU rRNA". It matches the Rfam family "Bacterial small subunit ribosomal RNA", at positions 140 to 807 of the family's 1533-position model. The record is from RNAcentral.